This is a long non-coding RNA of Sphaerodactylus townsendi, 154 nucleotides long. RefSeq lists it as uncharacterized. The transcript is spliced from 3 exons. Lineage: Eukaryota; Metazoa; Chordata; Lepidosauria; Squamata; Sphaerodactylidae. The record is from RefSeq and is a predicted model, not a curated record.
GACUAGCAACACUAGGCCCCUUCCGCACGGAGGCGGAGGCGAAAGGGGUUGGGCCGGCGUAAACCACGCCGACCCCCCGACGCUGGGACCGUCCGCAUGGAUGGUCCCAGAACCGGCUGGGACGACGGCACCGCAGAGCGCCGUCGCCUGGCUG